GGCUGUGGCUCAGUGGCAGAGGAUCUGCUUGGCAUUCAGAAGAACCCAGGUUCAAUCCCUGGAAUAUCCA
RNAcentral lists this transfer RNA (70 nucleotides) under Sphaerodactylus townsendi. RNAcentral's name for it is "tRNA-Ala". It matches the Rfam family "tRNA". Rfam says of the family: Transfer RNA (tRNA) molecules are approximately 80 nucleotides in length. Their secondary structure includes four short double-helical elements and three loops (D, anti-codon, and T loops). Further hydrogen bonds mediate the characteristic L-shaped molecular structure. tRNAs have two regions of fundamental functional importance: the anti-codon, which is responsible for specific mRNA codon recognition, and the 3' end, to which the tRNAs corresponding amino acid is attached (by aminoacyl-tRNA synthetases). tRNAs cope with the degeneracy of the genetic code in two manners: having more than one tRNA (with a specific anti-codon) for a particular amino acid; and 'wobble' base-pairing, i.e. permitting non-standard base-pairing at the 3rd anti-codon position. Lineage: Eukaryota; Metazoa; Chordata; Lepidosauria; Squamata; Sphaerodactylidae. The record is from RNAcentral.